AUGGUUUAUCAAGUAGAUUACAAAGUUAUGUUCGUAGCAUGGGUUAUGUAUGUCGGACCUGCGAGCAUGUAUGUAAGCAUCAAUUCAAAUCCCCCAGCAUUUGGCACCUAUCAUAUAUAUACCAUGUCAGAUGUGUGUACCCUGGAUCUAUGUUCAGUCGUAUAUCAAUCAUCGGACCAACUAUCAUUAUUUGGCCUUGCUCGUUCGUUUGCAAAUUUCAACUUCCAUUUAUCUGCCCUGUCGUGCGAGCCUGGUUUGUUUCCAAGGGUCAACAACGACUGUGAACAUGGGCAUUGUGUUCAUUCAGCAGUAAAGUCAUGUAAUCCCACUAAAUUAAAAUAA
Molecule: ribosomal RNA, 342 nt
Filed under: Triticum aestivum (bread wheat)
Lineage: Eukaryota; Viridiplantae; Streptophyta; Magnoliopsida; Poales; Poaceae
Description: partial small subunit ribosomal RNA
Source: RNAcentral